RNAcentral lists this non-coding RNA (23 nucleotides) under Cricetulus griseus (Chinese hamster). The record is from RNAcentral. Lineage: Eukaryota; Metazoa; Chordata; Mammalia; Rodentia; Cricetidae.
CUGAAGGAGGCAGAGGCAGGGGG